CUAAAUACUCCUGACUGACCGAUAGUGAACCAGUACCGUGAGGGAAAGGCGAAAAGAACCCCGGCGAGGGGAGUGAAAAAGAACCUGAAACCGUGUACGUACAAGCAGUGGGAGCACCCUUCGGGGUGUGACUGCGUACCUUUUGUAUAAUGGGUCAGCGACUUAUAUUCUGUAGCAAGGUUAACCGUAUAGGGGAGCCGGAGGGAAACCGAGUCUUAAUUGGGCGUUAAGUUGCAGGGUAUAGACCCGAAACCCGGUGAUCUAGCCAUGGGCAGGUUGAAGGUUGGGUAACACUAACUGGAGGACCGAACCGACUAAUGUUGAAAAAUUAGCGGAUGACCUGUGGCUGGGGGUGAAAGGCCAAUCAAACCGGGAGAUAGCUGGUUCUCCCCGAAAGCUAUUUAGGUAGCGCCUCGUGAAUUCAUCUCCGGGGGUAGAGCACUGUUUCGGCUAGGGGGCCAUCCCGGCUUACCAACCCGAUGCAAACUGCGAAUACCGGAGAAUGUUAUCACGGGAGACACACGGCGGGUGCUAACGUCCGUCGUGAAGAGGGAAACAACCCAGACCGCCAGCUAAGGUCCCAAAGUCAUGGUUAAGUGGGAAACGAUGUGGGAAGGCCCAGACAGCCAGGAUGUUGGCUUAGAAGCAGCCAUCAUUUAAAGAAAGCGUAAUAGCUCACUGGUCGAGUCGGCCUGCGCGGAAGAUGUAACGGGGCUAAACCAUGCACCGAAGCUGCGGCAGCGAACGUAUCACCCAAGACAACUUUACGGAGUUGACGAUUGACGGAGCGAAGCGACGUCAAAGCGUUCAUUAAAGUCGAGUUGGCUUAGGGAUACGUUCGUUGGGUAGGGGAGCGUUCUGUAAGCCUGUGAAGGUGUGUCGUGAGGCAUGCUGGAGGUAUCAGAAGUGCGAAUGCUGACAUAAGUAACGAUAAAGCGGGUGAAAAGCCCGCUCGCCGGAAGACCAAGGGUUCCUGUCCAACGUUAAUCGGGGCAGGGUGAGUCGACCCCUAAGGCGAGGCCGAAAGGCGUAGUCGAUGGGAAACGGGUUAAUAUUCCCGUACUUGGUGUUACUGCGAAGGGGGGACGGAGAAGGCUAUGUUGGCCGGGCGACGGUUGUCCCGGUUUAAGCGUGUAGGUGUGUGUUCCAGGUAAAUCCGGUUCACUUUAACACUGAGGCGUGACGACGAGGCACUACGGUGCUGAAGCAACAAAUGCCCUGCUUCCAGGAAAAGCCUCUAAGCAUCAGGUAACACGAAAUCGUACCCCAAACCGACACAGGUGGUCAGGUAGAGAAUACCAAGGCGCUUGAGAGAACUCGGGUGAAGGAACUAGGCAAAAUGGUGCCGUAACUUCGGGAGAAGGCACGCUGACACGUAGGUGAAGUGAUUUACUCAUGGAGCUGAAGUCAGUCGAAGAUACCAGCUGGCUGCAACUGUUUAUUAAAAACACAGCACUGUGCAAACACGAAAGUGGACGUAUACGGUGUGACGCCUGCCCGGUGCCGGAAGGUUAAUUGAUGGGGUCAGCGUAAGCGAAGCUCCUGAUCGAAGCCCCGGUAAACGGCGGCCGUAACUAUAACGGUCCUAAGGUAGCGAAAUUCCUUGUCGGGUAAGUUCCGACCUGCACGAAUGGCGUAAUGAUGGCCAGGCUGUCUCCACCCGAGACUCAGUGAAAUUGAACUCGCUGUGAAGAUGCAGUGUACCCGCGGCAAGACGGAAAGACCCCGUGAACCUUUACUAUAGCUUGACACUGAACAUUGAGCCUUGAUGUGUAGGAUAGGUGGGAGGCUUUGAAGUGUGGACGCCAGUCUGCAUGGAGCCGACCUUGAAAUACCACCCUUUAAUGUUUGAUGUUCUAACGUGGACCCGUAAUCCGGGUUGCGGACAGUGUCUGGUGGGUAGUUUGACUGGGGCGGUCUCCUCCUAAAGAGUAACGGAGGAGCACGAAGGUUGGCUAAUCCUGGUCGGACAUCAGGAGGUUAGUGCAAUGGCAUAAGCCAGCUUGACUGCGAGCGUGACGGCGCGAGCAGGUGCGAAAGCAGGUCAUAGUGAUCCGGUGGUUCUGAAUGGAAGGGCCAUCGCUCAACGGAUAAAAGGUACUCCGGGGAUAACAGGCUGAUACCGCCCAAGAGUUCAUAUCGACGGCGGUGUUUGGCACCUCGAUGUCGGCUCAUCACAUCCUGGGGCUGAAGUAGGUCCCAAGGGUAUGGCUGUUCGCCAUUUAAAGUGGUACGCGAGCUGGGUUUAGAACGUCGUGAGACAGUUCGGUCCCUAUCUGCCGUGGGCGCUGGAGAACUGAGGGGGGCUGCUCCUAGUACGAGAGGACCGGAGUGGACGCAUCACUGGUGUUCGGGUUGUCAUGCCAAUGGCACUGCCCGGUAGCUAAAUGCGGAAGAGAUAAGUGCUGAAAGCAUCUAAGCACGAAACUUGCCCCGA
This 2437-nucleotide ribosomal RNA is filed under the name Salmonella enterica subsp. enterica serovar Typhimurium. RNAcentral describes it as "partial 23S ribosomal RNA". It matches the Rfam family "Bacterial large subunit ribosomal RNA", at positions 466 to 2802 of the family's 2925-position model. The record is from RNAcentral. Lineage: Bacteria; Pseudomonadati; Pseudomonadota; Gammaproteobacteria; Enterobacterales; Enterobacteriaceae.